UAUUGAGCAAAUGACAAUAUAUUAUAAGAGAAAUAUUUGAAAAUCACAAUACAUUUUAUAUGACGUUUCCCUCGCAAAAAUACACUUAUCAAUUCAGAGAUGGAGGAGGGAGUACAUGGAGUAAGAUCUCACAAGGUUCAAAUUGGACACUGCGUUCCACUAAAAAGAGGCGCACUUUCCAAUUAUAUCGCCGGUCACUCUCUGCUUCAAGUACCAUUAUUGCAGCCACAUUCUGAACUCGGGUUUGUAUGUGGAACCGGAGAUGGAGGUGAGCUCCGCAGCCUCCCUCCUGCACGCAGACCAGAGAGAUGAUGCACCAAAAAUACAUGUAAAUCAGCUGAUUAACGAGCUAUUGUGAACUGUAGAAACCAGGACUCCAGGUAACCUAUUAACCACCGGAGUGGCGUGAUGAGCAUAGUACGUAACUACGUAGUACCUUGCGCAGGCUCAACGUGCAAGGCGAGAAUGAUGAAGAACGCCGCCCCCAAGAUCGCCAAGAAGCGCAGGAGUACGAGCAAGGAGGGACGAGGCGGCUUCAUUUUAUCGAUCUUUUCGCUGUGCACCGCGGCUCUGUAUCUGAUCUAUGUCGUCUUUCGUGGAUGUGCAUCCAUGGUGCCUCGCUCUUCAAUUUGUAGGUCGCGGUGGCGGCUGCUGCAUGCUGUCCGCUGCGCCGCCAAUUCAAG
Molecule: long non-coding RNA, 683 nt
Filed under: Sorghum bicolor (sorghum)
Lineage: Eukaryota; Viridiplantae; Streptophyta; Magnoliopsida; Poales; Poaceae
Description: long non-coding RNA (SBIC_LNC013585)
Source: RNAcentral